RNAcentral lists this ribosomal RNA (213 nucleotides) under uncultured Lactobacillus sp. RNAcentral describes it as "partial 16S ribosomal RNA". It matches the Rfam family "Bacterial small subunit ribosomal RNA", at positions 149 to 355 of the family's 1533-position model. Lineage: Bacteria; Bacillati; Bacillota; Bacilli; Lactobacillales; Lactobacillaceae. The record is from RNAcentral.
CCUGGAAACAGAUGCUAAUACCGGAUAACAACAGAUGAUGCCUAUCAACUGUUUAAAAGAUGGUUCUGCUAUCACUCUUGGAUGGACCUGCGGUGCAUUAGCUAGUUGGUAGGGUAACGGCCUACCAAGGCGAUGAUGUAUAGCCGAGUUGAGAGACUGAUCGGCCACAUUGGGACUGAGACACGGCCCAAACUCCUACGGGAGGCAGCAGCC